UCAAGUUCUGAGAUUUAGGAAGGGGCAAGCUACAGGGCACGCGCAGUAGAAAGAUAAGAACUAAACUUCCAUCAAGCCCUUUUGGCAAAAUCAUCGGUAUCAUCAUUGUCAUCCCUUCCUUCCGCAGAGUCUUCAAAACCUCCCAAAUCUCCAUCUACAUUGCUACUUCCCUUGCUAUCCAACCCCCCACUUCCAUCAUGUUCACCACCAAAGUUGGUGCCAAUACCUCCAUCAAAUCCACUACUGGCAAAAUCAGUGUUGCCAACACUACCACCAGCAAAACUUCCAUGACGCCCAACACCCCCAGCAUCACCAAAAUGUCCAC
RNAcentral lists this long non-coding RNA (325 nucleotides) under Lotus japonicus. RNAcentral describes it as "long non-coding RNA (LJAP_LNC001849)". Lineage: Eukaryota; Viridiplantae; Streptophyta; Magnoliopsida; Fabales; Fabaceae. The record is from RNAcentral.